This 2268-nucleotide long non-coding RNA is filed under the name Bemisia tabaci. Its description in RNAcentral is "lncRNA ENSSWEETPG000233". Lineage: Eukaryota; Metazoa; Arthropoda; Insecta; Hemiptera; Aleyrodidae. The record is from RNAcentral.
ACAGAAUUCGUAACUGUGAACUUAGAGCUAGGGACAAAUUAUAAAAGCAAAAAAUGUGAGUGCCUACAAAACUAUCACUGGAAGGAACUGACUCUCAUUUCCAAAUACUGCGUAGAGGAUUGGCAACUCUUCCGGGAGUUAAUCACCCAUUCAUUUCUUCUACCAGCGACCUAUUUUGACGUAGACACAUCAACCAAUUUUCGAGAGCUCCUCGGAGGUUUUCCUUUCAGAACAGUUGUUAAUAAAGCAGAUAAUAAUAAAGUAUGUAGAUCACUCAACACAAACGUGAAACAAGAGGCUGCCGAGACGUAAAUUAACCGUAACCUACGAAAAUGGCAAAUGGCCGACGUCAACGAGGGCGUUUGAGUUUAGCAGAGAUUCCUGCUUGGCCCAGGAGGCUAUAGGUUUGACAAAAAAUCCUGCCGCAGAUCAUCAGUAAGCAAGAGCGUGUUACCGAUGCGUCUCUACUCUCAGCUCUAGUGGAGAAAGAAAGAACUUUAAUUGCUUUAUGUAUUGGCAAAAUCUGCAUUGGAAGCAGAUAGGCAGGGUGGCUUUGCGGUAAAGCACUCGCCUCGUCCACGGAUCGCGGCCAUUGGAGGGCAUUUUCUUAAUGUAUGCAACGUAGAUAAAAAUGCUGUGUAUGGCAUUACUGGAUUAUUUUUUCCAUAAAAUAUGAGUGAGGGUUGCAUUUUGACGCACGUGAUUGAAAAUGGCUCCUCUUGCUUCAGAGAAACUUCUGGAUCUAAGGUCUAAGGUCCCUGUAUAAGGGUAUACAGGGACCGUCCAAUAAACUUGUUCUUUCUUAGAGGAAAAAGCAGACUCCAAAGAUAGAAAUUAAUGUAACAUAGUGGAUAGUUAACAUACUUUAGUAUAAAGCUUUACACAGAGUACUUUUGAUACUUCUUAGGGGCCAUCCAUAAAUUACGUAAGGCACUUUUUCCCAUUUUUAGACCUCCAGCCACCUCCUCGUGAGGCACCGUAAGGCAAAAUUACAGCAAAAUCAUGGGAUAAGCACCAGUUGUUUACAAACGUUAUGAUAAUAAAUCCGCCAUAUUGCCGAUCGCGCACCUGAAAAUCGCAUUUGAAGUCGAAUUUCAACUAAUUUCAACCUCCGGUUCGUUUAUGCGGAGUGCGGAAACCUAGUCUUUAGUGUAAAAUAAGGUUUCAAACACAAAUUUUGGAAACCUACAUUUCGUUAGUUCCGUAUCGUUUAUGCCGUGAUUUGAACCUUAGUUUAAAACUCAGGUUUCGAUUGAACUUAGGUUUAGAGGCUCGCAUAAACAUAGCUAAUGCCAACAUAUAACUCACAUAUGGUUAGGUACUAGGGAUGGGCCGGAUCUCGUGUUUUCAAUGGUUUAAUGGUUUUAGAAAGGGCCAAAAUGAGCGUGAAGUGCAAGGAGGUCCUGGUGCCCAUCGCUGGCAAACCUGUGUCAAGAUCAAAUGAUCUUGAAUAAUCGUAUGAGUACUUGCACCAGAUAAAUGACUAUAAUUAGCUAGUUGACGAACUGUUGUGUAGCAAACAUUCAGCAUACGCCUGAUGUGUUGAUUGCAACCCCGAUAAUCAUGGGUGUGGGGGCACCGGGACCUAUAGCCUCCCCCCCCCCCACGGGGAGCUGGAUCAAAAACUCUGCCAUUUUUUAACUUCUCUAACCUUAUUCCUCCACAAGAGGUGAACAUAUGACAAGAUUCCGUUAUGGGCCCAAUUCUUAUGGGAGAUGCGUAAGCCUCUUUUCGGCAAUAAGUAGGUAAUCAUGGAUUUUCGCAAUUACUUUCUGAGAGGAGCUGCUAGGUAAUGUCUAUUAAAAUUGCAAUAUUGAAGUAAAAUAUUUUCUAAGCGAGGAUGCCAUUGAGAAAGCGUGUCACCACGAUCGGCGACACUUUUCGGCAGUUACAUUGCGCCCCAUCAAAGUGCCCAACGAGUUACCAUGGAAUAAUGAGUUACCUACGAACAGGGUUAUAACACCGCAGGGAGACUGGCGAAUUUGCCGAGUCAUCAUGAAGAAAUAAAUUGGACUCGAACUUACGAACAAUUGGACCGAGUUCAUCAGAAAGUAACUAACCCACAUUAAGUUGAAACUGAGAAAAGAGCGUUUGAAGUUUUAUUUCUGCAUAAGACUCAAUGUAGAAAGUAAACUUUAACCUCUCUUUUCACAAACUAAUUCCUGUUUUUCGAUUUUCAGUUUUUGGCAGGAGAAAAUAUACGGCUAAAGGAACUCAAAAACAUUCUUAACUCAAUUUUUUCAAGAAUGUGGGUUGGUUCGUUUCGGA